CCUACGGGGGGCUGCAGUAAGGAAUAUUGGUCAAUGGGCGCAAGCCUGAACCAGCCAUGCCGCGUGAAGGAUGACGGCCCUAUGGGUUGUAAACUUCUUUUGUACGGGAAAAAACCACCGGUCGUGAAUCGGUGCUGAUGGUACCGUAAGAAUAAGCAUCGGCUAACUCCGUGCCAGCAGCCGCGGUAAUACGGAGGAUGCGAGCUCUAUCCGGAUACAGUGUGCGUAGGGGGAAUGCAAAGUCAGUAGUGAAAGCCUACAGCUUAACUGGAGAACUGCCAUUGAUACUGUUAUUCUUGAGUGUUGUUGAGGUAGGCGGAAUGUGUCAUGUAGCGGUGAAAUGCUUAGAUAUGACACAGAACACCGAUCGCGAAGGCAGCUUACCAAGCAACAACUGACGCUCAUGCACGAAAGCGUGGGGAUCAAACAGGAUUAGAUACCCUAGUAGUC
This 450-nucleotide ribosomal RNA is filed under the name uncultured bacterium. Its description in RNAcentral is "partial 16S ribosomal RNA". It matches the Rfam family "Bacterial small subunit ribosomal RNA", at positions 338 to 795 of the family's 1533-position model. The record is from RNAcentral.